AGCGAACGCUGGCGGCAGGCCUAACACAUGCAAGUCGAACGAACCUUUCGGGGUUAGUGGCGGACGGGUGAGUAACACGUGGGAACGUGCCUUUAGGUUCGGAAUAACUCAGGGAAACUUGUGCUAAUACCGAAUGUGCCCUUCGGGGGAAAGAUUAAUCGCCUUUAGAGCGGCCCGCGUCUGAUUAGCUAGUUGGUUGAGGUAAUGGCUCACCAAGGCGACGAUCAGUAGCUGGGCUGAGCGGAUGAUCAGCCACAUUGGGACUGAGACACGGCCCAAACUCCGACGGGAGGCAGCAGUGGGGAAUCUUGCGCAAUGGGCGAAAGCCUGACGCAGCCAUGCCGCGUGAAUGAUGAAGGUCUUAGGAUUGUAAAAUUCUUUCACCGGGGACGAUAAUGACGGUACCCGGAGAAGAAGCCCCGGCUAACUUCGUG
RNAcentral lists this ribosomal RNA (434 nucleotides) under uncultured bacterium. RNAcentral's name for it is "partial 16S ribosomal RNA". It matches the Rfam family "Bacterial small subunit ribosomal RNA", at positions 29 to 507 of the family's 1533-position model. The record is from RNAcentral.